RNAcentral lists this small RNA (613 nucleotides) under Caenorhabditis elegans. Its description in RNAcentral is "Unclassified non-coding RNA Y56A3A.43". The record is from RNAcentral. Lineage: Eukaryota; Metazoa; Nematoda; Chromadorea; Rhabditida; Rhabditidae.
GAUCGCAGUAUGUCAAAUGACAAGCGACAACGAUCUGGAAAAGAACUUUCAAGCCGCGAAAAAUAUGAUCGAAAGAGCCGGAGAAAAGAAGUGCGAGGUAAAAAUUCUACGGCUCCCGGAGCAAAGCUGCCGUCGAAAAAACGGGAAUUUUUGGAUUAAAAAUAGGAAAAAAAAAUUUCGAAAAUUCCGAAAAAUGUGGCAAUUUUAAUCAUAAAUCGAAUAAUUUUUAAAAUCAUGUAAAAAAAAUGUUUCCAGAUGGUUUUCCUACCAGAAUGCUUCGAUUUCAUUGGGCUCAACAAAAAUGAGCAAAUCGAUUUGGCGAUGGCUACGGACUGUGAAUAUAUGGAAAAAUAUCGGGAGUUGGCGAGAAAACACAAUAUUUGGCUUUCACUAGGAGGCCUUCAUCACAAGGUUAAUACUUGAAAAAAUUAAUAAUGGCUGAACUUCAGAAGUUUAGGAUCCAUCAGACGCUGCUCAUCCAUGGAACACCCAUCUGAUCAUAGAUUCCGAUGGAGUAACUCGUGCUGAGUACAACAAGCUUCACCUCUUCGAUUUGGAGAUUCCUGGAAAAGUACGAUUGAUGGAGAGCGAGUUCAGCAAGGCUGGCACUGAG